Lepisosteus oculatus (spotted gar) is the source of this 657-nucleotide non-coding RNA. The record is from RefSeq and is a predicted model, not a curated record. NCBI's taxonomy places the organism in Eukaryota, Metazoa, Chordata, Actinopteri, Semionotiformes, Lepisosteidae.
GUACCAAACGUGUACGCGUCAAUCAGUCCUCUACUUAAACCAUCACCUGUGCCCUGGUCAUCGCUCACGAUGGAGUUCUUCUCUCAGAGCUACUCUUUUGCCUUUCGGCGGCUUCUCUCCUGGACCUUGUCCCUGCUUUUCCCGACUGUCGCUCGAUUUGGUACCUACGCCUGUUUUUCGCACUCUCGGAUCCUGACCCCAGCCAGUCUCUUCGUUUACGCCUCCACCUGCCGAUUCCACACCGACGCCUCUUCUACGCCUCACCGGACCCCGACCCCAGCCUGUUUCCUCGACUACGCCUUCGCCUGCCGAUUCAGUGCCUACGCCUCUACAACGCCUUCCUGGACUCGGACUCCAGCCUGCUUAUUCCGACUACGCCUAGCGCCAACCCUACCAAGGGCACCGCAUUGGAUCUCCAUCCUCCGCAGUCAGUCCUUGCGUGAUAAAAUAUACAGGUGACUCUGAUAUUCCAGAGCUCUGGGACACCGCAAGAGAAGUCUGUCACCCACAGUGUGUAGACAAGCUUGGUGGACCAACAGGAGAUCGGAACGACGAACAGGAUCAGGAGACGAAUGAAGAUUAUGAGAAGCCAUCACACUCCCACUGCAGUAACCUUUUCCUCAGUAGCGACUGCAGAUGCUUGACUACUCUCCAAUG